This 490-nucleotide ribosomal RNA is filed under the name uncultured bacterium. Its description in RNAcentral is "partial 16S ribosomal RNA". It matches the Rfam family "Bacterial small subunit ribosomal RNA", at positions 30 to 507 of the family's 1533-position model. The record is from RNAcentral.
AUUGAACGCUGGCGGCAGGCCUAACACAUGCAAGUCGAACGGUAACAGGAAGAAGCUUGCUUCUUUGCUGACGAGUGGCGGACGGGUGAGUAAUGUCUGGGAAACUGCCUGAUGGAGGGGGAUAACUACUGGAAACGGUAGCUAAUACCGCAUAACGUCGCAAGACCAAAGAGGGGGACCUUCGGGCCUCUUGCCAUCGGAUGUGCCCAGAUGGGAUUAGCUAGUAGGUGGGGUAACGGCUCACCUAGGCGACGAUCCCUAGCUGGUCUGAGAGGAUGACCAGACACACUGGAACUGAGACACGGUCCAGACUCCUACGGGAGGCAGCAGUGGGGAAUAUUGCACAAUGGGCGCAAGCCUGAUGCAGCCAUGCCGCGUGUAUGAAGAAGGCCUUCGGGUUGUAAAGUACUUUCAGCGGGGAGGAAGGGAGUAAAGUUAAUACCUUUGCUCAUUGACGUUACCCGCAGAAGAAGCACCGGCUAACUCCGUG